Non-coding RNA from Penaeus vannamei (Pacific white shrimp), 159 nucleotides. NCBI's taxonomy places the organism in Eukaryota, Metazoa, Arthropoda, Malacostraca, Decapoda, Penaeidae. The record is from RefSeq and is a predicted model, not a curated record.
CCUCUUAGCACGUCAGCUCGCAGGUCCCUGACGAAGGGCCCUGGGCCCUGCAGGUCAGCCGGUCCCUGUUGUGCGAAGACGAGGCUUCCCAAGCAAGCAAUCAGCAAGAACUUCAUGGCUGUGGGAAAUAUGAUCACACCAACUGAAAAUACGUGAUGU